CGAACGCUGGCGGCGUGCUUAACACAUGCAAGUCGAACGGAAAGGCCCUGCUUUUGUGGGGUGCUCGAGUGGCGAACGGGUGAGUAACACGUGAGUAACCUGCCCUUGACUUUGGGAUAACUUCAGGAAACUGGGGCUAAUACCGGAUAGGAGCUCCUGCUGCAUGGUGGGGGUUGGAAAGUUUCGGCGGUUGGGGAUGGACUCGCGGCUUAUCAGCUUGUUGGUGGGGUAGUGGCUUACCAAGGCUUUGACGGGUAGCCGGCCUGAGAGGGUGACCGGCCACAUUGGGACUGAGAUACGGCCCAGACUCCUACGGGAGGCAGCAGUGGGGAAUAUUGCACAAUGGGCGGAAGCCUGAUGCAGCAACGCCGCGUGCGGGAUGACGGCCUUCGGGUUGUAAACCGCUUUCGCCUGUGACGAAGCGUGAGUGACGGUAAUGGGUAAAGAAGCACCGGCUAACUACGUGCCAGCAGCCGCGGUGAUACGUAGGGUGCGAGCGUUGUCCGGAUUUAUUGGGCGUAAAGGGCUCGUAGGUGGUUGAUCGCGUCGGAAGUGUAAUCUUGGGGCUUAACCCUGAGCGUGCUUUCGAUACGGGUUGACUUGAGGAAGGUAGGGGAGAAUGGAAUUCCUGGUGGAGCGGUGGAAUGCGCAGAUAUCAGGAGGAACACCCAGUGGCGAGGGCGGUUCUCUGGGCCUUUCCUGACGCUGAGGAGCCGAAAGCGUGGGGAGCGAACAGGCUUAGAUACCCUGGUAGUCCACGCUGUAAACGGUGGGUACUAGGUGUGGGGUCCAUUCCACGGGUUCCGUGCCGUAGCUAACGCUUUAAGUACCCCGCCUGGGGAGUACGGCCGCAAGGCUAAAACUCAAAGGAAUUGACGGGGCCCCGCACAAGCGGCGGAGCAUGCGGAUUAAUUCGAUGCAACGCGUAGAACCUUACCUGGGUUUGACAUGGAUCGGGAGUGCUCAGAGAUGGGUGUGCCUCUUUUGGGGUCGGUUCACAGGUGGUGCAUGGCUGUCGUCAGCUCGUGUCGUGAGAUGUUGGGUUAAGUCCCGCAACGAGCGCAACCCUUGUUCACUGUUGCCAGCACGUUAUGGUGGGGACUCAGUGGAGACCGCCGGGGUCAACUCGGAGGAAGGUGGGGAUGACGUCAAGUCAUCAUGCCCCUUAUGUCCAGGGCUUCACGCAUGCUACAAUGGCUGGUACAGAGAGUGGCGAGCCUGUGAGGGUGAGCGAAUCUCGGAAAGCCGGUCUCAGUUCGGAUUGGGGUCUGCAACUCGACCUCAUGAAGUCGGAGUCGCUAGUAAUCGCAGAUCAGCAACGCUGCGGUGAAUACGUUCCCGGGGCUUGUACACACCGCCCGUCAAGUCAUGAAAGUUGGUAACACCCGAAGCCGGUGGCCUAACCGUUGUGGGGGAGCCGUCGAAGGUGGGACUGGA
This 1437-nucleotide ribosomal RNA is filed under the name uncultured organism. RNAcentral's name for it is "partial small subunit ribosomal RNA". It matches the Rfam family "Bacterial small subunit ribosomal RNA". The record is from RNAcentral.